Molecule: long non-coding RNA, 1381 nt
Filed under: Marmota monax (woodchuck)
Lineage: Eukaryota; Metazoa; Chordata; Mammalia; Rodentia; Sciuridae
Source: RNAcentral
CAAAAGGUUAAAGUUUCUAACCUGUCAUUACUUAAAAAAAAAAAUUUGUAUUGGCUGUCAUGAUUUUUAAAAUGGCUCUAAGAGGUGAUCACCCAGCCCCCACCUCCCCAGUUGAGAACUGCCUUAUUCUCGCCACCUGUGCUUGAGCUCUAUGAUUGUGUUCACUGAGCCAGGCCAGAGUCGCCUCCUCAGGAAUUUAGAAUUGGGAGAGCAAGACAUGAUGUGGCUCUCUGUGAUCUGUGCAUAGGCCAUUAGAGCAUUGUCAGGCAGCAAAGAAGUGCUGUGACAGCCUCCUGGGAGAAAAGGUAGCCAAUUCUAAGACAGGCAGAAGCCAGGAACAAAUGCCUCCCUCAGGUCUCAGGUGAGACUCAGUCACUGUGUUUGGUGACCUGAGAUGUCUCUGUAGCCUUCUACUACAGUCACGCUGCACAGAACAUUAUGAUCAAUGGCAGGCUGCCUAUGUAACAGCAGUACCAUAAAAUCAUAUUGCCCACAGCCACCUUAGUUUGUGUUAAGUACACUUCAUGAUGGACGGACAAUGAUAAAAUCCUCACCAAUGCAUUUCUCAGAAUGUGCCCCCACCCUCAAGUCACCAGUAACUAUGCUUCUCUUUUUCCACCAAAGCUGUUUUGAAGUGCAUUCCGUUCCAAGCCACCCCCAAGAAAAUUGAUUUUGAUGGUUACACAGCCAUGAGCCCACUCAUUCCUGUUAUUUUCAGUAUUCUUACUUUGAAUUCUGAAGGAAAUUUAGUACAACCCUUUCCAAUGGCAAAUACACAGCAACUGCCUUUGCUUUUCCUCAAAGUAACAAUGAGUUGUCUUUUGUGAUGAAAGAGGAAACCACUGACCAGUGACGGUUGGGCUGGGUUUCUAGCAAGGCAGAGGGAAGGAGCUCUUUUCCUAUCUCCAGACAGGGAUGCCGAGAGCGAAGCUGGGAAACAAAACUAUCCUGAAAUUGUCUUCAAGGAAAUUGUCUUCACGUCUCCCCAUCUGGAAAAUCUCUCAUAUAUCUCAUCUCAAUUCUUCAGCCUUUUUCUCGGGCGAUCAGAGAACAGUUAUUACUGGUCUCUUUCUCGUACCUAUCAGUAAGGUGCUCUUCAGCCUUCUGUUGUUCUAGGCUGGACGACCCAUUUCCUCACUGUGUCAUAGUUCCUGCUCUAUCCAGAGUGGGAUCCAGUUUGCUUUUCCAUUCCUGGCUGCACACCGCCCCCACCUCGCUCAAUUGCUACAUUAAAGUGGAUGUAAAUCAGUCUUCUCUUUCUACCUCCCAAAUGUUCCCUUAGUCUCCUCUCCUGCUUCCCUCUCAUUCCCUGUGCUCACCAGCUCUCACCUCCCCUCUCUCCUGUCUUCCUGCAUCCCACAAAUAACUGCUGAGGAUGGCC